GCAAACUUGGUCAUUUAGAGGAAGUAAAAGUCGUAACAAGGUUUCCGUAGGUGAACCUGCGGAAGGAUCAUUAACGAAUAGUGAGGACUUGGCUGUCGCUGGCUCUCUCUGGGAGCAUGUGCACGCCUUGUUCAAACCUUUCAUUCUUUAACCUCCUGUGCACUUUUGUGGAUCGUAGAUGGAUAUCUCUCAAAGUAACAUUUGGUCUUGGGGUUUGCACCUAACACGCGCUCUCUCCUACAUCCGUCCGCGGUUCAUGUCUUUUUAUUACAAACUAUAUAAUACAACCUAGAAUGCUUAACAGUUGGGAACUUUUGUAACCCUUCUUAAAUCUUAUACAACUUUCAACAACGGAUCUCUUGGCUCUCGCAUCGAUGAAGAACGCAGC
This 388-nucleotide unclassified non-coding RNA is filed under the name uncultured fungus. Its description in RNAcentral is "partial contains small subunit ribosomal RNA, internal transcribed spacer 1, and 5.8S ribosomal RNA". The stretch from base 1 to 73 matches the Rfam family "Eukaryotic small subunit ribosomal RNA", at positions 1759 to 1831 of the family's 1831-position model. The record is from RNAcentral. Lineage: Eukaryota; Fungi.